ACACGUAGGGGGCGAGCGUUGUCCGGAAUUACUGGGCGUAAAGGGCGCGUAGGCGGCCGCUUAAGUCAGAUGUGAAAUCCCAAGGCUUAACCUUGGAGUGGCAUUUGAAACUGGGUGGCUUGAGGGCAGGAGAGGAAAGCGGAAUUCCCAGUGUAGCGGUGAAAUGCGUAGAUAUUGGGAAGAACACCGGUGGCGAAGGCGGCUUUCUGGACUGAUCCUGACGCUGAGGCGCGAAAGCCAGGGGAGCGAACGGGAUUAGAUACCCCGGUAGUCCUGGCCGUAAACGAUGGAUACUAGGUGUGGGAGGUAUCGACCCCUUCCGUGCCGCAGCCAACGCAAUAAGUAUCCCGCCUGGGGAGUACGGCCGCAAGGCUGAA
RNAcentral lists this ribosomal RNA (377 nucleotides) under uncultured bacterium. RNAcentral's name for it is "bacterial SSU rRNA". It matches the Rfam family "Bacterial small subunit ribosomal RNA", at positions 523 to 898 of the family's 1533-position model. The record is from RNAcentral.